Molecule: ribosomal RNA, 492 nt
Filed under: uncultured bacterium
Lineage: Bacteria
Description: partial 16S ribosomal RNA
Rfam family: Bacterial small subunit ribosomal RNA
Source: RNAcentral
AGUGAACGCUGGCGGUAGGCCUAACACAUGCAAGUCGAACGGCAGCACAGUAAGAGCUUGCUCUUACGGGUGGCGAGUGGCGGACGGGUGAGGAAUACAUCGGAAUCUACUUUUUCGUGGGGGAUAACGUAGGGAAACUUACGCUAAUACCGCAUACGACCUACGGGUGAAAGCAGGGGAUCUUCGGACCUUGCGCGAUUGAAUGAGCCGAUGUCGGAUUAGCUGGUUGGCGGGGUAAAGGCCCACCAAGGCGACGAUCCGUAGCUGGUCUGAGAGGAUGAUCAGCCACACUGGAACUGAGACACGGUCCAGACUCCUACGGGAGGCAGCAGUGGGGAAUAUUGGACAAUGGGCGCAAGCCUGGUCCAGCCAUACCGCGUGGGUGAAGAAGGCCUUCGGGUUGUAAAGCCCUUUUGUUGGGAAAGAAAAGCAGCAGGUUAAUACCCCGCUGUUCUGACGGUACCCAAAGAAUAAGCACCGGCUAACUUCGUG